Molecule: ribosomal RNA, 295 nt
Filed under: Salmonella enterica
Lineage: Bacteria; Pseudomonadati; Pseudomonadota; Gammaproteobacteria; Enterobacterales; Enterobacteriaceae
Description: partial 23S ribosomal RNA
Rfam family: Bacterial large subunit ribosomal RNA
Source: RNAcentral
AUCUAAGUACCCCGAGGAAAAGAAAUCAACCGAGAUUCCCCCAGUAGCGGCGAGCGAACGGGGAGGAGCCCAGAGCCUGAAUCAGCAUGUGUGUUAGUGGAAGCGUCUGGAAAGGCGCGCGAUACAGGGUGACAGCCCCGUACACAAAAGCGCAUGUGCUGUGAGCUCGAUGAGUAGGGCGGGACACGUGGUAUCCUGUCUGAAUAUGGGGGGACCAUCCUCCAAGGCUAAAUACUCCUGACUGACCGAUAGUGAACCAGUACCGUGAGGGAAAGGCGAAAAGAACCCCGGCGAG